This 978-nucleotide ribosomal RNA is filed under the name Triticum aestivum (bread wheat). RNAcentral's name for it is "partial small subunit ribosomal RNA". The record is from RNAcentral. Lineage: Eukaryota; Viridiplantae; Streptophyta; Magnoliopsida; Poales; Poaceae.
AUGGCUGCCAGUCAGUUUGAACAGCAAAUAGAUUCAGGACAAACUAUCAACACUCAACAUGCAGAGAACGCUUCAGUACAUGAACGACAAUCAUACCAGCCCUCUCAGACCUUGGAUAUGGUACCUUACACUCCUAGAGAAGAAUCAAAUAUUCUCCAGAAGUUUGGGUCACACUUACGCCAGCAACAUGAUAGGUACAAACAGGAUACAGGAUCCGCAGUUGCCUCUCAGCAUGAUCAUUCUAUUCCAGCUUUGUUGCCUGAAAAUCUCAGUGUGCAAGGCAUAACUGCAACUCAAAUCACUCAGGCCUUUGCGAUUACUACCUUGCCGAUUUCCAACGCUCAACUUUCACCUACUAUUUCUGUCCAGAACCAUAGCCACCAAUCCAAUCCAAAUCCUUCUGAAUUAUAUGGUUCUCCUCAGUUGUAUCCUAGUUCUAAGCGUCCAUGCUCCUCCAUUCUAGGCCCGCCUCCGCCACCACCAAAGAAACGCUUUCCCCGACAGAAUGCUCAAGAUAGAAGCUCCCUCUCCUCUGAUGUCCUCCCAAUGGACCAGGAAGUGCAUGCUGCAGAGAGGCCUCCAUCUGUUCUUGGUUGCAGGCCAAAAUUAAGAGGCAGCCGCUGGGAUAUCCCUCCUGGAGGUGGAUUGUCAAGUUUCCAAGCCAAUAUACAGGGGAGUCGCCGCGUUUGGAUCCGUGGACAGCACUCUACUUCUCCUCGGGCAUCAUAUGACCAUUCGAGACUUCGAUCUCCUUCGCCAUCUCUUAGUGCAGUUGUGUUUGAUCACCAUAUCCAGGUGGGUAUGGGUGAUGAUCGUCCUGGCAAUCUUUCCGGAGUCUCAACUCCAGUUCAAGAUCAAGAUGAUCCUACUACUGUUCGAGGUAGUAACAGAAUGGAUAUUGAGGAAGUUCAAUUGGGAGAGUCUAUGGACUAUGACUGGGCAGCGGCGCAUGGCCCUAACGCGCCUCGGUCAACAUGA